This 351-nucleotide long non-coding RNA is filed under the name Dromaius novaehollandiae (emu). RNAcentral describes it as "lncRNA (ENSDNVG00000003996.1)". The record is from RNAcentral. Lineage: Eukaryota; Metazoa; Chordata; Aves; Casuariiformes; Dromaiidae.
UCCAGGCGGGACCCCCUUGCUCACACACCCAAGGCCUCCUUCCUUCCUCCCUCCCCUCCUUCGCCCGCAGGGAGCGAGGAGAGGCACGGACCCGUCGGGAGAGAAAACCCCAGGCCUCUUCUGUAAGAUGGGCAGGAGCCAUGACAGUUCGCAUCAUUUGGAAGCAGCAAGACCUUCCCAUCCCCAUCUUCUCCCAAUAAAACAGAGGGGCCUUUAGAGAGAAGUCGAACUUCAGCCCAAACAGUACACAGCACACAACAACAAAGGGUGAGAGCUCUUGGGAUGCUGUAGUCAGAUGGUGUGGUGCCAGCUGGAGGAUGUCUCCAAAUAUCACACGGAAUCCAGCCUAGG